Molecule: ribosomal RNA, 670 nt
Filed under: Streptomyces sp. A23MCM
Lineage: Bacteria; Bacillati; Actinomycetota; Actinomycetes; Kitasatosporales; Streptomycetaceae
Description: bacterial SSU rRNA
Rfam family: Bacterial small subunit ribosomal RNA
Source: RNAcentral
GCAAUCUGCCCUUCACUCUGGGACAAGUACAGGAAACGGGGUCUAAUACCGGAUAAUACUCCUGCCCGCAUGGGUGGGGGUUAAAAGKUCCGGCGGUGAAGGAUGAGCCCGCGGCCUAUCAGCUUGUUGGUGAGGUAGUGGCUCACCAAGGCGACGACGGGUAGCCGGCCUGAGAGGGCGACCGGCCACACUGGGACUGAGACACGGCCCAGACUCCUACGGGAGGCAGCAGUGGGGAAUAUUGCACAAUGGGCGAAAGCCUGAUGCAGCGACGCCGCGUGAGGGAUGACGGCCUUCGGGUUGUAAACCUCUUUCAGCAGGGAAGAAGCGAAAGUGACGGUACCUGCAGAAGAAGCGCCGGCUAACUACGUGCCAGCAGCCGCGGUAAUACGUAGGGCGCAAGCGUUGUCCGGAAUUAUUGGGCGUAAAGAGCUCGUAGGCGGUCUGUCGCGUCGGAUGUGAAAGCCCGGGGCUUAACCCCGGGUCUGCAUUCGAUACGGGCAGACUAGAGUGUGGUAGGGGAGAUCGGAAUUCCUGGUGUAGCGGUGAAAUGCGCAGAUAUCAGGAGGAACACCGGUGGCGAAGGCGGAUCUCUGGGCCAUUACUGACGCUGAGGAGCGAAAGCGUGGGGAGCGAACAGGUUUAGAUACCCUGGUAGUCCACGCCGUAA